CCUACGGGAGGCAGCAGUAAGGAAUAUUGGUCAAUGGACGCAAGUCUGAACCAGCCAUGCCGCGUGAAGGAUGAAUGCCCUCUGGGUUGUAAACUUCUUUUAUAGGGGACGAAAAAGGGUCUUUUUAGAUCAACUGACGGUACCCUAGGAAUAAGCACCGGCUAACUCCGUGCCAGCAGCCGCGGUAAUACGGAGGGUGCAAGCGUUAUCCGGAUUUACUGGGUUUAAAGGGUGCGUAGGUGGGUUGGUAAGUCAGCGGUGAAAUCUUCGAGCUUAACUCGGAAACUGCCAUUGAUACUAUCAGCCUUGAAUAUCCUGGAGGUGAGCGGAAUAUGUCAUGUAGCGGUGAAAUGCUUAGAUAUGACAUAGAACACCAAUUGCGAAGGCAGCUCACUACGGGAUUAUUGACACUGAGGCACGAAAGCGUGGGGAUCAAACAGGAUUAGAUACCCUGGUAGUCCACGCCCUAACGAUGGAUACUCGACAUUUGCGAUAUACAGUAAGUGUCUGNGNGAAGANAUAUAUACCACAGAGAGAGCGCGAGAGUAGAACGACAAUAGAAGUAGACGACGNGAGACGUACGACGACGGACGACGACGAGGGGAGGAGG
RNAcentral lists this ribosomal RNA (610 nucleotides) under uncultured bacterium. Its description in RNAcentral is "bacterial SSU rRNA". The stretch from base 1 to 531 matches the Rfam family "Bacterial small subunit ribosomal RNA", at positions 338 to 873 of the family's 1533-position model. The record is from RNAcentral.